RNAcentral lists this ribosomal RNA (386 nucleotides) under Picochlorum sp. Its description in RNAcentral is "partial small subunit ribosomal RNA". It matches the Rfam family "Eukaryotic small subunit ribosomal RNA", at positions 582 to 975 of the family's 1831-position model. Lineage: Eukaryota; Viridiplantae; Chlorophyta; Trebouxiophyceae. The record is from RNAcentral.
AUUCCAGCUCCAAUAGCGUAUGUUUAAGUUGCUGCAGUUAAAAAGCUCGUAGUUGGAUUUCGGGUGGGAAUGGCCGGUCCGCCGUUUCGGUGUGCACUUGCUAGUCCCACCUUGCUGCCGGGGACGUGCUCUUGGGUUUCGGCUCGGGACACGGAGUCGGCGAGGUUACUUUGAGUAAAUUAGAGUGUUCAAAGCAGGCCUACGCUCUGAAUACAUUAGCAUGGAAUAACACGAUAGGACUCUGGCCUAUCUUGUUGGUCUGUAGGACCGGAGUAAUGAUUAAGAGGGACAGUCGGGGGCAUUCGUAUUUCAUUGUCAGAGGUGAAAUUCUUGGAUUUAUGAAAGACGAACUACUGCGAAAACAUUUGCCAAGGAUGUUUUCAUUA